CGCCUGGGGAGUACGGGUGAGGUAACGGCUCACCAAGGCAUCGACGGGUAGCUGGUCUGAGAGGACGAUCAGCCACACUGGGACUGAGACACGGCCCAGACUCCUACGGGAGGCAGCAGUAGGGAAUCUUGCGCAAUGGGCGAAAGCCUGACGCAGCAACGCCGCGUGGGGGAUGAAUGCCUUCGGGUUGUAAACCCCUUUCAGCAGGGACGAAAAUGACGGUACCUGCAGAAGAAGCUCCGGCCAACUACGUGCCAGCAGCCGCGGUGACACGUAGGCACCAAGCGUUGUCCGGAUUUAUUGGGCGUAAAGAGCUCGUAGGCGGUUCAGUUAGUCGGGUGUGAAAACUCUGGGCUCAACCCAGAGACGCCACCCGAUACUGCUGUGACUAGAGUGCGGUAGGGGAGCGGGGAAUUCCUAGUGUAGCGGUGAAAUGCGCAGAUAUUAGGAGGAACACCAGUGGCGAAGGCGCCGCUCUGGGCCGUAACUGACGCUGAGGAGCGAAAGCGUGGGGAGCGAACAGGAUUAGAUACCCUGGUAGUCCACGCCGUAAACGGUGGGAACUAGAUGUGGGGUCCGUUCCACGGAUUCCGUGUCGCAGCUAACGCAUUAAGUUCCCCGCCUGGGGAGUACGG
RNAcentral lists this ribosomal RNA (635 nucleotides) under uncultured Actinomycetes bacterium. RNAcentral describes it as "bacterial SSU rRNA". It matches the Rfam family "Bacterial small subunit ribosomal RNA", at positions 234 to 885 of the family's 1533-position model. Lineage: Bacteria; Bacillati; Actinomycetota; Actinomycetes. The record is from RNAcentral.